This is a long non-coding RNA of Aegilops tauschii subsp. strangulata, 2290 nucleotides long. RefSeq lists it as uncharacterized. Lineage: Eukaryota; Viridiplantae; Streptophyta; Magnoliopsida; Poales; Poaceae. The record is from RefSeq and is a predicted model, not a curated record.
AGAAGCCCUCCUCCCGAUCUGCUAAAAAAUAGCCCUCCCGUAUCCCUAACCUCAUCCCCACCAUCCCACCCAUCGCCUGCAAUGGAUCCGCCGCCGCGCUGAUCCCGACCAUCCGCCGCCGCUCUUUGCCCCAUCCACCGCCGCUGCUCACCGCAUUCACCCUCUGUUGCAUCCCAGCACCUCCAUAGCCACCGUGGACCAUCUCUCUCCUUGGUCCUCUCUUGGAUCAACAUGCGGUGACGGAUGCUUCCGGUCGCGUGGUGGUGAUGCGGCUGGUCGGGGAACAAGGGUGAGGCGGACUGUGUCCCAUUCAUUGAUCUUCCUCCAGCUCCAAUUCCUCCUCUCCCACCGAUCGUCAUGUCUGCGACAGGCGCUCUGCUCACCUGCGGCAGCGAUGCGUAUGGCGACAACAAUGUCCUUUUGUGCCCCUCCACUCUUCGGACCGCUGAUGCACGGAAGUACGCAGAGAAGAUCACGCUCCGCUUAGCAAAUUCGUCCGUGUUCUAAGUGGCUGCUCGGCAAGAGCUUGUGCCGGAUGUUCAUCAUCAACGCCAGAUAGGGGUUCAGGCUCCUGUUGAACUGAUGGCAUCAGCCAUAUGGACCUGCAUGUAUUUGAUAGUUUGCUCAAUCAGAUUUAUCCCUUCAACCAUAGUUAAGGAUACCACACUACUUCAUUGAGAUUUCUUUCCUACAUGACAUGGAUUUAUAAUCUCCAACAAUACGGUCAUGCUUUUUAUAUUUACUUUCAGUUCUAAAUACAUUUGUGAUUUUCUAUAUGCUGUCUUACUAAACUGUGUGUGCUAAACCAACCAUAUAGUAUAUAGAAAGGAUUUUAAAAUGUUAGCUUAUAUUGCAAAAUCUUGAAAAUAUGCGGUCUUUUUACUGUUUUUUCCGUGAACUUGGGGAGCUUGGGACAGAGUAUGGUGUCAAUAAGCAGUAUAUACCAGGACAAUAUUUUUGUGAUAUUGUAUAUACUAACUUAGUGAUAAUGGAGUGUUUACCAUAUUUUUGCCAUGGACUCUAUACUGCAUUUUUGAACUGGUUAGAAUAGCUGACGCCUUUUUUAUCUUCCUUGUGGUAUAUGCUACCAUCAGAGGGAGUAUGUAAGGUACUAAUUUCAAGUAUAUACUAUUGUACUAUAUUUUGUCUAUAUACAUCUACAACCAAGUAGUAUGUGCACUGCUCUUUGUGCACGGCAGUAUAUACAUCAUUUUUGUAAGGCAAUAAUAACACCUUUUUUGUGAACUAGUAUACUACUUUAUUUAGUCAGUACAUAUAUAAGUAAUCUUUUAGUCGAUAUAUACUACUGUUCUUGAUAUAAAGGGUAAAGCAGCGCACACAUGACACGCAGCAGCCGUUGUCGACUAGACGGUGGUGCCGCUGCAUGGAUCUAUCAGUGCAUGCCACGCCGCCACCGUUUCUUAUUGUUGCCGUUGUCGAUGAGAUUUGCAGUGACGUCGAAUGGGUCGACCAGUGCACACCAUGCUGCCACAUUGUCGAUGAGAUGGUGGUGCCGUCUUAUCCAUCGAUGCUAUGUGACUAGCUUCGUCAAUGGCUUUGCACCUUGAUCCAGAUUGUUUUCACGCAUAGCAUGUCAUGUUUGCCUCUUAAUGACCACAUCCGCUAAGUCAGCUCUCUCUCUCUACUACUGCAACUAACUAACUGUGAUGAUCUUCUCCAGGUUUUUUGGUUGGAUACUGAGAUGGCACCAUUGUGCUGCUGAAGUUAAACCCUGUUUAUUGGGACGUACAAGCGGUCGGCAAGCACACAUGGCGGCCAGGGAUAAGCCAUACUUUUCCAAUGACUGCUGCUAGGAUUGAUGUCCUAUUGCCGGAGAAACAAUGGCAACAGUCACCCGUUUUGUCCAGCGAUGAUAUCAUCCAUGUCUAUUAUUUUGUCAAUCACCAUAGAUAUUCAUGUAUCGGCCUCACGCGUGUCGUUGCUGGAGCCCAUUCAUGGCGAGGAUACAUGGUUGAUGGCCCAACAAUCCUUAUGGGAUGGAAGGAUCCCAUGACUAUAUAGGAAUGGCACUAAAUAAACUGUGUACUAACUAGAGAAAUGAUUUAUUUCAUAGGUCUAGAAUAUAUAGGCUGACAAGUAUUUGGCAUUCUGUCUUUUUAAUAAGUAGAUGAUUUUUCUACAAUAGUUCCAUGUUCAUAUGUCAUGCUUCUUUGGUGCAAUAGGAAACAAUGCCAUUGAUCGACCAGAUUAUAUAGGGAUUUAUAUCAUCCUGAUAUAUAUAUUUCUACAAGUAGUUUAUACGAGCCUCAAAACACUGAUUUUCGAUAAA